RNAcentral lists this transfer RNA (90 nucleotides) under Anaerobiospirillum thomasii. RNAcentral's name for it is "tRNA-Ser(gga)". It matches the Rfam family "tRNA". Rfam says of the family: Transfer RNA (tRNA) molecules are approximately 80 nucleotides in length. Their secondary structure includes four short double-helical elements and three loops (D, anti-codon, and T loops). The record is from RNAcentral. Lineage: Bacteria; Pseudomonadati; Pseudomonadota; Gammaproteobacteria; Aeromonadales; Succinivibrionaceae.
GGUUAGGUGUCCGAGAGGCUGAAGGAGCACGCCUGGAAAGCGUGUAUACGUGAAAGCGUAUCAAGGGUUCGAAUCCCUUCCUAACCGCCA